Clupea harengus (Atlantic herring) is the source of this 2694-nucleotide long non-coding RNA. The record is from Ensembl. Lineage: Eukaryota; Metazoa; Chordata; Actinopteri; Clupeiformes; Clupeidae.
CCACCGCAGUGUUGUACCCAACGUCACUGCUGUAAACGGCCUCUGACCCCCCCAGUCAGUCUGGAGCGGGAAGAGGUAGAGAUUUGGGGGGAUGGGGGCAAUGUUGAGGAUCCCCCCCCCCCACCCGUCACUCUCAGUGGGAGGUCCCGGUGUAGUCAGAGGAGGUGUGUGCCUUGGUCUCGGUCCUCACUCGCCCUGUCUGUGUGUGUGUGUGUGUGUGUGUACCCCACAAUGUCUAGGAACAAAAACCAGUCCAACUCAAUCAAGACAUAUUCUAUCACUUACAAGACAUAUCCUCGGAAAAGUCAUAUCAGUAUGGAUGUAGAACAGACACACACAUGUGCGCGCGCGCACACACACACACACACACACACACACACACACACACUCACACACACACACACACACACACACACACACACACACACACUCACACUCACACUCACACACACACACAUGCGUUAGUUAGGGCAUCUUUCAAAUCUAAACUGAUGAAUUUACUAAUGAUACUAAGACUCAAGUCAACCAAUUCUGUGCUUGUGAAUAGAAUUAUAAUCCCGUGGUAUUAAACAGCGUCUAGAUUUUCUAACCUAGCAGAAGUCUUCCUUGCUACGGUACGGUACUGAUGUUCUAGACUGCAGACAGGAGAACGGCCUGGUGUUUGAGCACAGGCAGCUUCCCAGCAUGAGUCCCGCACUAACAACACUGUCACUGUGGCUAGGGUACUGAACUGUGUGUGUGUGUGUGUGUGUGUGUGUGUGUGUGUGUGUGUGUGUGUGUGUGUGUGUGGUUUUCAGUUCCCUUCCAGACCAGCACUAACUGUAGAUGUAAACACACGUACCCCGGUCAGUGCUGAGGACACACACACACACACACACACACACACACCGGACACACACCGCAGACGUCAUCCGAGUCGUGAUCUGAGAUCAGCCAAAACACGUCACGAGUCCUGCAUUCACACACUCUUUCUUGGACACACUCUCUCGGACACACACUCUCGGACACACACACACACUCUCUCUCUCGGACACACACUCUCAGACACACACACACACACACACUCUCUCUCUCAGACACACACACUCUCAGACACACUCUCUCUCGGACACACACACACACUCUCUCGGACACACACACACUCUCUCAGACACACACUCUCUCUCGGACACUACUCUGUAUAUUACUCCAAGCCCAGGCUUCCAUUGGUCUACAUGACUGUUGUCGUGUGUGUGUGUGUGUGUGUGUGUGUGUGUGUGUGUGUGUGUGUGUGUGUGUGUGUGUGCAACAGUGUUACUGGUGCUUUAAUUUAUGUGGAUUUGUUUGCUUUUGGAACUUGACAUCCCGUGUAGAACUUGACUCAGACGUGGCCCAGACGUGGGCCAGACACGGCCCAGACGCAGCUCGGUUCUGCCGGGCCAGAGGAGUUCCCUAGGUCAGCAGCAUUCUUAGUGUUUUUAAGCCUCAGUUCUCAGGCUUGUGAUUGGUCAAACGGCUCCUCAGGUUGAAAGGUCAAACUAGGCCCCCCCCUCAUUGUUGGAAAAUAUCACAGACCCGAGGAUCCCGAAGCGUUGGCAUGGAAACUAUACCCUUGUAGUGUGUUUUUGUUGAUAUGUUGGUGCACUGCUCACAGUCGUGGAAGUGUUGGUGUAGAGCAGUGGUUCUCAAACGUUUUGUCCGGGGACCCCAUUAAAUCCAUUUGCCAAGUCUCGCGACCCCCCCCCCACACACAUUUUGACAGGAUAUUAUAGGUCUAAAUUCAGUUUCAUCUUGAAUGAUGAGACAGCUUGCUGAGACAAUAUUAGUUUUCUUUAUCCACCCUGAUGUAGAAAACACCAUGUCUGAUAGACUAUACAGCAUGUCAAAGCCUAAUAUGUUGAUGCACAGGGCAGCAAGAUCAUUUCGCGACCCCCCAAAAAAACGUUUGGCGACCCCCACUUGGGGUCCCGACCCCUAGUUUGAGAACCACUGGUGUAGAGAGCAUAGAUCACAGAUGUAGACGUGAGCCACGCCUCUCACAGCCUUCCGCUUAGAAUAGUCAUUCACCUUCGGUUCCCUCGCACGGAACCCUGGCCGUCUGCAGGAGAAACCAACUCUCAGAACAGGUUUAUUCUCAGAGAACCUGCUCAGAAAAGACUCUCAGUACAGUCCUCGAUGUAUUCAUUAAAAAGAUUAAAUUUGAGAUUCAAUCACCACUGAUCAAAACAAUCACUGAAGUCUGAAGUCUCGCACAGAGAAUUUGAUUCUUGGAGGGUUGGGAUUCAAGAUGUUCCUUUAUCAUGUUUGGUGUUUUGAGUUGGUUCUGUUCUGUUCUGUUCUGUUCUGGUCUGUUCUGUUCGGUUCUGUUCCUGUCUGUAUCUGCUGUAUCAGGAUGGUGUUCUUACUUAUUGUGUUUUACUGAAGAAAAGAAACAACUACACAUUCCCAUUCACCCUUUUUGUAUUGGUUCAUUUUAGACAUUUUUACAAAAAUGAGUUUUCUUGUCUUAAUAAAAACAGAAAAAGGUAUUAAUGUUGAAAACUGGUGUGUGUUGUCUUUAUUAAUGUUGAAAGCUGGUCCUUUCUUCUGUGACUGAAUGGCUUUCACUCUCUCACACACACACACACAUACCAAACAUACACAGACACACACACACACACACACACACACCAGACACACACACACAGACACACACACACACACACACACACACAC